CGAGCUGUAGCUCACGAAAGCUCAUGCUCAAAUAAAUUUGUUAGUGAAUAGAGGAAUGUCACCCAAGUUUUGAUAAGCAGAGGGUAGAGAAAAGUUCUUGCAGACCUGAAGAGGGUCAGUUUAUCCACCAGUUUAAUAAGAUGACUUCUUGUGGGACCAUGAUCAUCACAUGCACAUGAUGUCUAUUGUAGAUAUACUGAUUUGAACACCUGAAUAGAGCAUAGGUGAAGUCUGGCAAACUAUGUCAUACUUGAAGCUUGAAGCCAUGUGUCAGAGAAGUCAAGCACGUUUUCACUGAUUUUCUUGGGUGAUCGUGACGUUGGUUGGUAAGAUCUAUUAUUAUUUGAAAUCUUUCCUGUGGAAGGUAAACUGUUGACCUAGAGUCCACCGCUCCUGCUCCAAUGAAAGCUAUGCUCUCAGCCAUAGCAGAUUUCUCUCUGUUGACUGAGAUCCGGGAAGACAAAAAGCUUUAGGGUUACCUGACUUCAGUUGUUCACCUGGUUGGGGUCACCUUCCUUGAAUUAGUUAAAGUAUGGACAGACCUGGAUUCCUGCCUUUUUUAGAUGAGCUGCCACAAUUGCCAAGCACUUGAUGAACAACCUUGGUUGUGUGGAAAGACUAAAAGGCAGGACCCUGUAUUGGUAGCGUAGCGAGGCAGAGUGGUUCCCUGCCGCCCCAGGGUGGGAUGAGCCCUUCUCCAAACCAGAGUGAGCAGAGCCAGCGAGUCCCAUGCCCACCCCCCAGUGGUCAAGGCACAGGACAGGAAGUAUAAAAGCCCAACCCCAGAGCUCACUCAGGAAGCAGCUGCUGGAGAGGCCAGACGCCGCCGGCCUAGCUCCCAGUUGGGAAACCUUGGCGACCUAUGGCGGACCCGAGGACUGGCAUGACCUGCCAACGCCCGACACCGACCAGAGCCUGGAGGAGCUGCCCAGCCUGCCCCUUGCCAGUUACCCAGAAACCCCAUGGUGCUUGACCUCACAGAGGACACGCACCGGACACAGGUAUCUCCAGAGGGGGAGUUCGGAAGUAGCCCGGGGGCAGCCAACCCUAGUCUGGCUGCAGCACAGCCAGAGCUUAUGUCAGUGUGUUGUGGCCAGGAUCCCCACUGACUCCACAGCAAACCUGCCAAGAUUUCUUAAAAUAAGAGGUGGUAGCCAUCAGGAGGCCAAGAUGUUAAAAAUAUUUCUCAGGCUUUUGACACUGGCAUCAAAUUUGUUGCCUGGUGAAAGCUCCAGACUGAAGAGCAAAAGAGGAAACGGAAUAGGAUUGCCUAUGGUGGAAUCUCUCUCUCCUUCAGCUGAUCUGAGGUCCUCUUUUGUCUGAUAGUAAUACUGGGCAGAGGAGUGCUGUCUGAAAGAUGGCUACUGGCAUCUGCACUUUCUUCUUGAAGCAACAACCAUGGGUCCAAAGAGCAGAAGUCAGGAAAAAAGGAGAUGUGAAGUCCCUCGGUUGGACACAAGGAGGCAGCAGCGAUUUGCAAACAAUCACUAGAAUGUCAUUAGGGCAGGCGUUCAAUCACAGCCACUCUCAGACACUGGGAGGUUUGUGCAUUUGGAAUUCCAGCUAAUUUAAAAAUAGCUGUGCUAUUUUUCUCCUCUGCUGACAGAGAUCCAUGCAUGGUUAAAAGGGGGGAGAGAGAAAAAAAAAAAUCUACAGGGAAUUUUGGCUCCAGGUUCUUUGCAAACCUAAAUACAGUAUGGCAGAUGUUACCAUACUGCACAGCAGAAGCCUCAACACCAUCAUAAAAACCUCAAACAAUAAAUUAAAGAUUAUUUUGGAAUUUCUCAAAUACAAGCCAGUCAGAUUUUUGGGAUUUACCUUCUCACUUAAAUAUCUGAAUAGAUAGCCUUGUUUUUAAAAGACUACAACUGCCAUUCUUCUAUCCACCGAGUAAUCUAACUCCACCACCACCACCCUGCCCUAAAAAGGUGAAGAUUGUAUUUCCACAUGCUUUAGAAAAUAUUUUCUAUUGAAUUGUCAAAAUAUACAAAACCCGAUUUUAGUAAACAAAAGGAACUUUACUUCUUUAUGAAUAUGUCCAGCAGUUCAGAUUUGAUUAUAUAUAUUUUAGAGUAGAUGUAGAACUAUUAGUAAGAAGCCAAACUAUAAUGACUGACAGUAUUUUCUGCGUGACAAAUGGUUUUUGUUUUGUUUUUUUAAAAGAUUUGAAGAAUUUACAGAGGGAUUAAAAUUUGGGACUGAACCUUGGAAAAACUAGACUAUAGUAAUACUGUCAUGGAAGUUUUAAUAAUAGAAAUGAAAUGAAGUAAUUCGUAAUUCACAGACAUCCACUCGUUAUAUACCCUCCCUUCACUUGGACAUGCACAUCGCACUUAGGUACUUUCAGAAAUCAUUGUUUAAAAAAAGAUCUGAUAAAGCUUAAUUUAGUUGUCAGAAUUAGUUUAAUCUUGCCCCUGCAUGAUCCAUGUUAGGUUUUAUAGUGCUUUCACUCUAUUCAACCCCCGAUUAAAAAACUGGAAGUACUCUUAAUUUUACAAGUAAUCCAUCCACACACAUUUCAUGACUUCUCAGAAACCUGCAAAUUAAACAGUUCCUUACCUCCACUGCAUAUACACAUUGAUUUAAUAACUAGAAUUGCCAGCAAUGAUUUCUACCCUCACGCACACUUUCUCCUGUGGGCACUAGCUAGUGGGCAGCUUCUUCUCCCCCCAUGCUACAAAAUUAAGCACAAAUUAUAUUUUACGUAUUUAUUAAUUGUUCCUUCCAAGUUAAAAAGAAAAAAAAAAAAUCUUAAAAAAUGGAGGGCCUGAGUUUUAAACUGGCUAUUGAGAGUGCGAUUUUUAAAAGCCCCCUAAAUAAUUACAAUCCAGAACUUUCCCAUAUUAGAUUAAAAUAGUUCCUCUUCAUUUGGGGGAGGGCAGGGGAAGGGAUGAAGGAGAGGUAGGCUCUAUCACUUCUCUCUCCUGGGGCAAACACCAUGUUCCACUUUUCUCCGCCUCCCAUAGGAGAAGGAAGAAAGGGGAGCACAGGGCCUCAUUCCAUCCAGCUUUUCCUCUCUACAGAGGAAGAAUACAUUGCUUCUUUACACCCUGAUUUACAUACUCCUGAAUGGUUUAAUCUCCUCCUUUUCAAGGAAAGUCCAGUGUGUGACAGCGGGCCCUAGGUUUUGUCCCAAGGGUUCAUGCAAACUUUGUGUGUGGGUUUCAAAUAGCAGCCUGGCUGAAAGGAGGGUCAGGACCAAAAUAAGAAAUUAAAGCACACAUGUAGACAGAACAAUGGAUCAGAUGUGUGUGGAGGGGUGUCUUGCAAUAACUGGAAAAACUGGAUUUAAAUUGGUGUUUCUUGUACAUAUUACCAGAUUUUUUGUGUAUGGGGCGUGGGGAGAAAGAUUUAGUUUAAAGGACUAGAUUAAAAUCUUGUGCUCUUGUAAUUUAAAAUUAGAGAUUUGGUUGUCAUUUUACACUUACUUGCACUGAUGUAAUUGUUAUAAAAACAGGCUUUUAAAAGAAUCACAUUUGUCAUCACAAGACAUAUUUUAUCCUGUAACUAUAUUUGACUAGAAGGAAGAUUUUAGAUAAAUAUGAAGUCAGUCACAACUAAAGCCACUCUAAACAAAUAUCCUUGUUAUAGUUCAUGUUUCACAUUAUGCAAAUUAAAUAGCUGUACACUUCAGUACACAGUUCUGUGAAUAUAAAAUGAGAGACUGUCAUAUACAUUUAUUGUGCCUUUAAAGGCAGUGACUGGAUUUUGUUAAGGAAACAAAGAUUAAUAUGUGAAGUUCAUUUGGACAAAAUUUAAAAAAGACAUUCCUAUUUUUUCCUUUGUAAAUUUAUGCUUUGAAUUUUCACUAGGGGAAUGAGACAUCACAUCUCUCCUGAGUAAAAAGGUAUCCCUUACACUACAUCUCUUUCUUCCCCCGUUUUUACUCAGGUAGAGAUAUGAUGUGACACCUAUCCUCAAAUGAACUGAAACAAUUUGAGCCUUGUGUUUGAAUUCAUUUUUCCCCCCCAGUUAUUAAUUCAAAAAGGUUUCAAACAAACAGUUGGUUGUCUGAUGCUGUUAAAACAAUUGUGUUUACAACAGAUGAGACACUGUAUUAGCAGUAUGACAGAGCUAACAUUUUAUUUAAAAAGCACUGCAGGCUUUAGUAAUGCAAGGAAUUAGUUGUUAAUUCCUAAAGAGAAGAGAAUUGGGAUUAGAGGACUAAAGAUCUGAAUUAUCAGUUUUACCCUUAGCUCAAUUCACUCAUUUGUAGAACGUGCAGCAUUUCCCUUCAAGAUCCUUGAAUAAGAAGGUGCUAUGUAGAUGGGGAAGUAGCCAUGGGGAGCCGAGGAAGCUCAGAUGCCCAGAGGUGCCAAAGAAUAGGAGGAGGAAGUAGGACAGAGCCCAGGAAAAUAGCAAUCAGGUCUUGAAGUAGACCAUAGCUGCAGAGCAUAGGGUCCCUGUGCAGGAACAUGGAGUACAGGAUGGGCCUGGAUUCUCCUACCAGCUACUGGGGAAGCUUUACCGCCUUAGACAUAGAAUGGAGGACUGGCAGGAAGGGCAGGGGGACAGUUAGUCUGGAGUGAUUUUGACAGACCUCAGAAGAGAUGGUACUGUGAUCCAGCUAGAGGGCCAAGUCAUGAAGAGGGAGCAGCCAGAGUCCCAAAGAAGACGGCAACCCUGAGUCCUGGAGGGUAAGACUGCGACAACAGCUGAGUUGGAACCGUAGGUAGGGAAGCUACUGGUGACCAGUGGUGAGCUAUUCCCCAGGUGAGCCAUGAGGAGACACACCAGCAGAGCGUAAUGAACCCUGUUACAGCCUCAAAACCCCAUUCUAAGGAUGGCAGCCUGAAGGGUGACAGGGUAAUUCCACUCUCCUUCAGUCCCUAGCAUCUGCAGUUGUUUUGUGAACACUUAUCCACUUAUUCAGGAUUCAGGUGAAGACUCAACUCCUUCUACAUGUCACUAAAAACUUGAUGAGAAAGGCUUUAGUUAUUAUGGAGCUUCACCAGCUACAAACAUCCACAAUACUCAGAAAAUAUUCCAUAACCCUUUAUCAAUUCUCUAAAGUCCUAACAUUCCUGCAUAUUGAUGACUAACAGAUGCCAAAGAGAGAAGUGUCUGAAUAUUUCCACAUCACUGCAUUUAAAUGGAUAGUUAACUUUCUAUAUAGAGACUCAUUUCCAGUUCACCUUUUCCAUCCCAUUCAUUAGGGUGAAAAGAUAUAUAACAAGAGUUGUUUUAAUGAGUCAUUCAUACCUAACCAUGGCAAAAUAAAUUUGAUUGAAAUACUGUAAUUGAUAUAUUUUGCUUAUAAUCCUCUUGCUUAGUAGAUAAGUAUGGAGCUUGAGACAUUUAUUGACAUUUUACUGCCUCUGUCAAAGGAUACAGAAUGGCUCUAAGGUCAAUGGCGAAUAACCAUAUUCAGUUUGAAAAUAAAUUAUUAUGAUAACAUAUGAUUCAACAAAAAUGUGAUACAGUAGGCAGAGAAAAAUCCCAAUAAUACAAUAUGUAGACCUACGGCAUUAUGUCAAAGAGGGAGUCAUCAUGAGUCAAUUAAUAAGUGCUCUCUCCAUUAAUUAGCAUGGACAGGUGUCCACAUUGCAAGAAAUUCCAUUAAAUAGGCUUAAGUAACAGGCUGUCUGUAGGCAAAAGAUGGGAGAUGAAAGUAAACUUUCUUCUCACCCACGAAGGAGGUCCUUUCAGCUUAGAAGUUUGAGAAACACUGGCAGGGACAGCUGGAAAGCUUGCAUUGCCACUGCUUAUGCCAUCUCUCCCUUGUAAAAUAAAAGGAGUUCAGUCUCUUGGGCAGUCAAGCUGGCAGCUUUCAUGAACACUAAAUUCACUAAUAAAUAUGAAUGACUAUGCAAGUGUUGUAUCAAAACUGAUCAGAGUAAACAGCUGAGUCAAGGGUGGGAUUUUCAAAAGUACUCAGCACUUUCUAACUGUACAGUAAUUGAUAGAAUUAAAACAAAGUUAAUUCCACAGUAAAGAUGGGGUGAGGGAAAACAAGACAAAACCUGAUUUGCCCAAAAUCAAACAAGUAGCCAGUGACAGCUGGAAUCUGAACUAGAUUGAAUUCCGCUUUUCUGUUCAGGGUAUGUGCAACUUUCUAAAGUAAUAUUUCUUGUACAUCCCAUCCCUAAGAGGUUAGUACAAUAGUUGGUGGGGGACUUUGGUUGGUUUAGUUUGACUACUUAUUUCCUUAACUUAAUUCAAAGGCACAUGAAGUGCCAGACAGACAUCUUUUUGUAUGUUAGAGUAUGUUUGUAUGUAUAUUAGAGGAAUCAAAAUAGAAUCUUUGGCCCAAUGCAAACUUAAAAUUUACAAGUCUCUUUAAAAAGACAAAAGCAUCUCUAUUUCCCUCUGCCUCUAAUCAGGUUUGUGGUUACACCUUUGUAUCUGAGCAUAUGCCAACCUGAUUUGUUCCUUUAACUGCCCUUUAUCCCAACAUUACUCCCCCAAGUGAACUGUUAGAAUGCACUAUACUCAUUACUUACAAUUUACACUAAUUACGCUUGCUUUAAAAAGGAAAAAAAUUUGUUGCAACUUGUAAAUACCCAUUUUGAUCUGGAAGAUUACACAGAUUCUGAAUAGUUUAACAGUAAAUAUUUAGUUACUGAAGUGGAAUAUUUAGGAUUCUGUAUACAAAACAUCAGCAUCAUUUGGAACUUACACAUUUUUGAGGAAAUAUUUGCCAUACAAAUAAUAUAUUUUUAAAUGUAGUAUUUGAACACAGUUUAUUCAGUAACUUCUGAACAAUACCUCAGCAACUGAAAAUUUCAAAUAUUGUUUGGUUACAUCUAAUUUGCAUUAGGUACUGAAGGUAUCCUUUGAUACAUUGUCACUAACUUAUUCCUACUGCCAGUGAAGACCAGUGUCCAUUCUCCCACUGAUACAUGAAGACAAUACAACAACAAUUUGUUGUAGCAUAAAUGUAAAGGGCAAAUAUAUUCUAGGUAAUCCACACAAUAUCUGGCAAUUUAAGUUAUUCACUUAAUGUGACAAGGAAACCAGACUGAAAAAUAAGUCCUAUAUAUUCAAUAAAGAAUUAGAAUAAUGGCAGAGAAAAGAUACUGUAGAUUUAGAUUUAAGGUUAAAAAACAACAAACAAACAAACAGACUAUACGAGUCGAACAGAAGAGUAAAAAAACAGCUAGGUAAUUAUAAAAAUCAAGUGUCUCCUUAGCAAGUGGCCUAACAGUGCCAACAGCUGACAGAUUGCUUUGUACAAGUACAGAAAAUGUAAUUGUUUCACAGAUAUGAGGUCGUGAUUUUGGCUGACCUCAUACUAUUUCCUGUAAUAUUUAUAUGCUGAGGCACUUACCAACUUUAUAAAAAUCAAACAUUUUAAUAUGUAAAGGAAGUUGAUUUCCUUAUUGUAAGUAUUUCCUCCUAAUAUUGCUACAUAUAGGAUGAAAACGAAAAGCUUCUGACUGACGUGUACAGCUAUUUAAGAUCUGACUUAGUAUUGCGUUUAUACCCAGCAGAAGACCUAUAGUUCUGGAGAAAAAAAUUCCUGAAGGGAACUGUUAAAAAGAUUUAACAAAAAAAAGUUAUACAUUCUCAUCCUCAUAACAGAAAGAUACUUAUGGCUGUCGAUUGUUGGCAAGCAAUAAAAAUAGAGAUUUCAAUUUAAACAAGUGUUAGAGAAAAAGUUCUGAAAGGCAGACAGAGGAGAUGGAACUCUGGGACUAUUUCAAAUAAGGGUAUAUAGGCUAGGUUUGGAAGGACUAGAUUUUUAUCGGGAAAUGUUGAUUUCACCUUUGUGACCCAGGGACCUCUUGGUGCCAACUGGCAGGGACAACAAGAGUGCCUAAGGGCUACAGGGAUCCCCUGGCUCUGGUAUUUACUUCACUAAUUCACCAAAGUAUAUUAUGUAAAGUUUCUAAUGAAAGCUAGUGUCAUAAGAGUCCUCAAUGAUUGUGAAAUGCAUACAUGGAUAGUAUGCAAGAAGUUAUGCAUAUAUUAUACUGAAAGUUAUGUUAAGUUCUCUGAUUUUGGGCUGGUCACCAGUAAAGGGGUGAGAGGUUUACGUUUAUCCAUCUGUCUACACAUAAAUUGCGUAACGUAAGGUUCACAAUGGACAACCCAUUUACAAUCUGAGCAGAAUGUUAAUCAAGUGAUUGCGAAGAUUCCAGAGGAGAA
Long non-coding RNA from Dermochelys coriacea (leatherback sea turtle), 8091 nucleotides. RefSeq lists it as uncharacterized. The transcript is spliced from 2 exons. The record is from RefSeq and is a predicted model, not a curated record. Lineage: Eukaryota; Metazoa; Chordata; Testudines; Dermochelyidae.